Phrynosoma platyrhinos (Desert horned lizard) is the source of this 72-nucleotide non-coding RNA. Lineage: Eukaryota; Metazoa; Chordata; Lepidosauria; Squamata; Phrynosomatidae. The record is from the annotation of a GenBank genome assembly.
GCCAGCAUGGUGUAGUGGUUUGAACGUUGGAGUGUGACUCAGGUGAUCAGGGUUUGAUUCCCUGCGCAAGUA